Molecule: ribosomal RNA, 493 nt
Filed under: uncultured bacterium
Lineage: Bacteria
Description: partial 16S ribosomal RNA
Rfam family: Bacterial small subunit ribosomal RNA
Source: RNAcentral
AGUGAACGCUGGCGGUAGGCCUAACACAUGCAAGUCGAACGGCAGCACAGUAAGAGCUUGCUCUUACGGGUGGCGAGUGGCGGACGGGUGAGGAAUACAUCGGAAUCUACUUUUUCGUGGGGGAUAACGUAGGGAAACUUACGCUAAUACCGCAUACGACCUACGGGUGAAAGCAGGGGAUCUUCGGACCUUGCGCGAUUGAAUGAGCCGAUGUCGGAUUAGCUAGUUGGCGGGGUAAAGGCCCACCAAGGCGACGAUCCGUAGCUGGUCUGAGAGGAUGAUCAGCCACACUGGAACUGAGACACGGUCCAGACUCCUACGGGAGGCGGCAGUGGGGAAUAUUGGACAAUGGGCGCAAGCCUGAUCCAGCCAUACCGCGUGGGUGAAGAAGGCCUUCGGGUUGUAAAGCCCUUUUGUUGGGAAAGAAAAGCAGCAGGUUAAUACCCCGCUGUUCUGACGGUGCCCAAAGAAUAAGCACCGGCUAACUUCGUGC